GUCUCAUGUGGAAGAGAGAAGGUUAAUGCUCCCUUUGGUAAGAAUGCAGGAGGCCUGGGCAACACAUGUGUUGUUAACGCGUUGCCAGCUACUUGGUGGCAUCUGGGCAUGGUUUUGA
Non-coding RNA from Sus scrofa (pig), 118 nucleotides. Lineage: Eukaryota; Metazoa; Chordata; Mammalia; Artiodactyla; Suidae. The record is from Rfam.